Long non-coding RNA from Macadamia integrifolia, 494 nucleotides. RefSeq lists it as uncharacterized. The transcript has 2 exons. NCBI's taxonomy places the organism in Eukaryota, Viridiplantae, Streptophyta, Magnoliopsida, Proteales, Proteaceae. The record is from RefSeq and is a predicted model, not a curated record.
AUAAAAUCGAUAAACCAGAAAUCUAAAGUCGAAACCCUACAGCUUGAAGAUGUUCUAUUCACACAGCUUUCUUGCAGAGAGAAGUCCUUUAUGGAUGAUUUGGAUGGCAGCGCAUAUGCAACAGAUUUGAAAACCCCAAAUCAUAGCCACUGAUAUACCUUCAUCUAUCAUGAUAUAAUGGGUGAAGAAAGAAUUUGACCCAAUUCCAUGGCAAUUAGAGAGUCAUGGCUACUGGAUCAAACUUCCAAGACUCCCUACCAUGUUAUUGGGACCUUCGAGCAGUACUAUCUUGAUAUGGAUUCUACUCCUCAUAAAUAUUUUUUGUGUUUUUUUAAUUUUUAUGUUAAUGGAUAUGAUACAUUGGCAGAAGGAUUGAUUUUAUUUACCCGUAUAAAUAUUUUGAAUGCAUUUAUGGAUGGUCUUAAAGUUGCUUUUAAUGUAAUAUACCAUGUCUGAAUCGAAAUCUAUGCAUUGAUUUUUAUUUAUUAUUAUUA